UAGGGAAUAUUGCACAAUGGGGGAAAGCCCAUGCAUGCAGCGACGCCGCGUGAAGGAAGAAGUAUCUCGGUAUGUAAACUUCUAUCAGCAGGGAAGACAAUGACGGUACCUGACUAAGAAGCCCCGGCUAACUACGUGCCAGCAGCCGCGGUAAUACGUAGGGGGCGAAGCGUUAUCCGGAUUUACUGGGUGUAAAGGGAGCGUAGACGGAUCUGCAAGUCUGGAGUGAAAGCCCGGGGCUCAACCCCGGGCAGCUGCUUUGGCAAUUUGGAUUAGGGUCUAGAGUGCCGGAGAGGUAAGCGGAAUUCCUAGUGUAGCGGUGAAAUGCGUAGAUAUUAGGAGGAACACCAGUGGCGAAGGCGGCUUACUGGACGGUAACUGACGUUGAGGCUCGAAAGCGUGGGGAGCAAACAGGAUUAGAUACC
RNAcentral lists this ribosomal RNA (425 nucleotides) under uncultured bacterium. Its description in RNAcentral is "bacterial SSU rRNA". It matches the Rfam family "Bacterial small subunit ribosomal RNA", at positions 355 to 786 of the family's 1533-position model. The record is from RNAcentral.